This 218-nucleotide ribosomal RNA is filed under the name uncultured soil bacterium. RNAcentral describes it as "partial 16S ribosomal RNA". It matches the Rfam family "Bacterial small subunit ribosomal RNA", at positions 27 to 275 of the family's 1533-position model. The record is from RNAcentral.
GAGCGAACGCUGGCGGCAGGCCUAACACAUGCAAGUCGAACGGACUCUUCGGAGUUAGUGGCGGACGGGUGAGUAACACGUGGGAACGUGCCUUUAGGUUCGGAAUAGCUCCUGGAAACGGGUGGUAAUGCCGAAUGUGCCCUUCGGGGGAAAGAUUUAUCGCCUUUAGAGCGGCCCGCGUCUGAUUAGCUUGUUGGUGAGGUAAUGCUCACGAAGCU